Molecule: non-coding RNA, 207 nt
Organism: Vicia faba (fava bean)
Lineage: Eukaryota; Viridiplantae; Streptophyta; Magnoliopsida; Fabales; Fabaceae
Source: the annotation of a GenBank genome assembly
AUGCAUGUUGUGGAAUUGUUGUUCGAUGAAGAUGAAGCUCAGCGGAGUGCAAAAGGUGAUUUCCAUACGAAGAUGAAGAUGAUGAAUGAUCGAAGGUUAUUGGAAAAUUGGAAUAUCAUUGAAGCAAGUGGGAGUUUGGUCAUGAAGAACGAAAACUUAAUCAAGAGGAUAAAAGUCAGGGGCAUGAAGACUAUGGAAGAAUCAUGA